GAAACCUCACCGGGAGAGUUCCGUCGCCACCAGCGGCGGGCGCCGAAGGAGCAACCGCCCCGGAAUCUCUCAGGCACCCGAACCGGUUUGGUCAG
Molecule: non-coding RNA, 95 nt
Filed under: Actinobacteria bacterium IMCC26207
Lineage: Bacteria; Bacillati; Actinomycetota; Actinomycetes
Also listed under: 1 other name
Description: Glycine riboswitch aptamer
Rfam family: Glycine riboswitch aptamer
About the family: This family represents the bacterial glycine riboswitch. Glycine riboswitches usually consist of two metabolite-binding aptamers domains with similar structures in tandem. The aptamers cooperatively bind glycine to regulate the expression of downstream genes.
Source: Rfam by way of RNAcentral